AAAGAUUUGAGGACUGGAUCAGGGUGACUUUAGCCUCUUUUUUAUAGCCUUAUAAACUCCUAGGCUAUUUCACAAUGAGAACAUAUUACUUUUUUAGCUUGAAAAAGACACUAAAGAAAAUAAAAGAUGUAAAUGAAUAACAAUGACAGAGAAAAACACUAUCAGAUCUUUAGGCUGGAUGAGGGAGAUGAAGCUGUUGUCAGGGAGAACAGUCCGGAAAUUACUGAGAAUAUUCAGAAAAGAGAUGCAAAGGUGUGAGCUCAGCAGUGUCCGGGAAAGGGAGAUGAGCAGAUCGGAGGGAUCCUUAGCGGGUGAAUUCAGCGGGAUUUGGAGCCAGAGGAGUCUAGUGGUGAGGAACAAGCUUGGCUUUUCUCCUGUGUCUAGCCUGAGCUGCUGCAUGGAUGAUUGUCACCAACUACCUGUGUAGAAAAUAUAAACAAAAGAGUCAGUUUUGGAAAUGGGAAAGAUGAUAAAUUCAACUUGGGGCAUAUUAAGUUUGAGGUGCCUAUAGGCCAUCAAAAACAGGGAUGUCUAAAAGGCCAUGUAGGUUUAAGACUCCAAGAAUGUAUGGCAUUAACAUAUAUAAAUGGCCCUUUAAGCCACAGGCAUGGAUAACAUUGUUUAGAAAGAGACGUACAGGCAGUGGCAAGGUAAGGGUGGAGGGUGAAUCCACAUUUAUCAAAGAGAAAGAGGAAAAGAAACUUCUUAGGAGACCUAGGAGCAGCCGGAGGGAAAGAGGAACCCCACUGAGCAGAGCGUCACAGAACAGAGGCAGAAGGAGGAACAGCUUCCUAGAAAGGAUACCACGUUAGAUAAGAAGUGAAAUAUGACCAUAGCCUGUUGGGUCACUGAGGCCUGGUCUGGAACAGUUUCAGAAGAGGGGUGAGGACCCAAGUCAGGUUGCAGAAGGGUGAGGAGUGAGUGGGAUUAGAGUAGGGUGAGAAAGACUUAACCGUGAAAGGAAAGAGAAAAGAGGAUUCUAGAUAAGGAGAAUAUCGGAUCCUGUCACCUAAGAUUUAUUUAUUUAUUUGGUAGUCGUUACAAGAGAUAUGAUCAUGUGGAUGUGCUGAGGGAAGAAAGCCAGGAAAAGAUAAGUUGACGACCUAGAGGAGAGAGUAAAUAAUUAAUGAAACAGGGCUUGGGGGUGGGGCUGAAGUCCAGAGUUCAGGCUGAGGGGUUCUCUGGGACAGGACAGGGGAGAGCUAUUUUUUCCCCUUUGAGAAUAAAAAGAAGAGAAAGGGCUAUUGCAUGAAUUAGAGGGCUAAGAGAUGGGGAGGCAAGGCUUGAGGGUGUCUUGUUGGGGUUAAAAAGCAGGUAGAUGAGAGUAAGGGGAUAUAGAAAGGUAAGGUAGAUAUUAUGAGCAGAACAUCAAAUAUUCUUAAGUCUUCGGGCUUAAGGUCUCUGAAGUGGAAUAGUUUGGAGAUGAUGACAAGGUUCGGAGUGUGACCACGUGGAUGAAGCAUCGGCGAAGUGAGAAGCAUUGGAGUCCAAGCUUCUACUGUGAAUGUAGAGUGACUUCUUGACUCAGGAAGGUGACCUGCCCAUUGUCAAUCAUCCAGGACAACCUUAUUAUGGUGCAUCUCACCUUGGGUCCCACUUGUCUUGGUAGCAUCUCCCCUGAGGUACUGGCUGAGAUUCCAGAGGGUAAGGAUCCCUCUUAGUCAUCAUUUUGUCCCUGAUGGCAUGCAGUUGCAAGUAGUGGGUGCUGCAAGUGUUAACUGAAUUUCAUCAUCUCGCAACAUCCAAUGUUCUAAAUUUUGAACCAAUAUGAGACAUAUAGAAACAUAUGAGACAAUAUGAGAUAUAAUGGAACAAGAGACAGAGGGCUAUGGAUUUAAAGCAAGAGGCUUAAUUUCACAUACAGCAUCUUCUAAGAUAGGGUAUGGCCUGUAGGUCCUCCUGUAUUUAACAAAUGCACAUCUUCCUUCAUUGCAUAUGAAGGCUGUAUAAUUCCACAGAUCUUCAUUUUUGCAUGCAGCUAAGGGACACAGAGUAAUCUCCUAAAUGCAUUGUUAAAAUUUAAUAUUUAUAAGCUGAAUUGGCGCACACCUAAAGAGUGCUAAGGGUUUUAAUUCCGCACUCUGCUAAAAGUCUGGCAGACACAAAAACGCUCUGCAAGUGCGCAUGUGCAGGUGAUUGGCUUUCUCCCACGUUUCAAAAGGCCAAUUUCUUAUCAUGUAUCAUCACUAUUAUAAUGAGGCAUCGGAGGUUCCGAUUACUAUUCUUUUUACUUAUUAAUUGUGUCUUAGUUUUUAUCAUUAUCGGUUUGUUCUGGGUUCGUUAAUUUGUUGGUGUCUUAGCAAGGAUGUUUUAGACUUGGGCUCUGGAGACCUAGCAUCGUCUGUGUUAAAUCAGUAUGAACUUGAGUAAGGUAUUUAAUUAUUCUGAGCCUGAGUUUUUCCAUCUCGAAAUGGGAGUGGGUGGUACAGGUGCUUCUCUCAUUUGGUUUGAUGUGGGCAACCAUUGAGGUAAUGCAUGCUGAGUGUUUUCAUUGAUGGUACAUAGACAAGGUGCCAGCACAUAGGACAAGGUUAGAUGAGGAUUUGGUUCAGCUAAGCAUGACAGAAAACCAAACUAGCAGUCUUAUUAAGACAGAAGUUUAUUUCUUCCCACAAAUCCAUGGGCAGCCCAGAGUUGGUAUGACAGUCUGCAGCCAUCACAUUCCUUCCAUCCUGUCGUUCGAUGCUUUCUCAGAGUGGGACUGCUGUUGGUGGGCCGGAUGGCUGUUCCAAUCCCAGCCGUCAACAUCAGCCCCCAGCUAGCAGGAAGGAAGAAUGGCAAAGAGAAGGGCACACACCCUUUCUAAGGAUUCUCCUAGGAAUUAUAUAUGCCACUUCUGCUUUCAUGCGAUUGACCAGAACUUGAUCGCAUGCCACAUCUAGCUGUAAGGACAGGCUGGGUAUAAAAUCUUUACUUUGAAUAGGUAUGAAUCCAGCUAAAGGGGACGUUCAUUAUUACAGAACUGGGCUAAUCAGCUGGAAUGGUACUGACCUUUGGGGAAGGACACAUCUUCAUUGGAUGAGACUGUCUACACAUUUCAGGACACUUAUACCUCCAGGCCCCAGACACUCCCUAAAUGCCAGGAGGACCCAACCGUAUCAACCCAAUGCUCCCACACAUUUACAGUUACGCCGAGGAGGUAGCAUGUCCUUAAAGCCGAGGUUGCUGUGGCAGGCAUUUCCUCUGCCCAGUGCAGCAGCACAUGCCCUUCCAGGGAAACCCUGCUUCCCACAGCCAGAGGUGAGACAGCCAUCUGCUCGAGGGGAGACAGGCCAGCCUCUGACUCAGGCCAGACCACAUGAACUCUUUUCCCAGGCUUUAAACAAUUGGAACUAGGGGGAAAAUUUUAAUUUCCUCAUGGGAGAGACAUAAGAUCUAGUGCUGUUCAUCUACUAUUGAUGAGAAUGCAAAUGGUGCUGCUGCUUUGAAAAACAGUCUGGCAACUCUGCAAAAGGCUAAAUAUAGAGAUACCAUAUGGCAAAGCAACUCCGCUCCUACUCAUACAUCCAAGAGAAAUAAAAAAAAAACACAUGUUCACAUAAAAAGUUGUUCAUGAGUAAUUAUAGCAGCAUUAUUCAUAACAGCCAAAAAGUGGAAACAGUCCAAGUGUCCACCGACUGAUAAAUAGAUGAACACAAUGUGCUAUAUCUGUAAUGGAAUAUUAUUUGGCAAUAAACAGGAACAGAGAACCAGUGAACACUACAACAUAGAUGGACCUUGAAAAUAUGCUAGGUGAAAGAAGCCAAUCUCAAAUGGCCAUAUAUUACAUGAUUCCAUUUAUCAACAUAGGAAAUGUGCAGAAUAAGCAAAUCCAUAGAGGCAGGAAGUAGAUUACUGUUGGCUGGGGAGAGAGGCGGAUAGGGAGAGACUGCUAAUGAUAUGGGAAGACUGAGUUAAAUUACAUGGCCAGUGAUGUAAUCAGUCAUACCUCUGUAAUAAAACCUUGAUUAAAACUCUAUAAGGAGGCUCAGAGAGCUUCCUGGUUGGUGAGCACGUAGGUGUACUGAGAGGGUGGCACACACUCCCAGGCCUUCUGCAUUCUGGGCCUCACCUUACGUGUCUCCCCCAUUUGGCUGUUCCUGACUUGUACCUUUUAUAAUAAAAUAGGAAUUAAAAGUAUAGUGUUGUCUGAGUUCUAUGAGUCACCUAUUUGGUGUUGGAGAAUUGUUAGAGUGCCCUGGGGAAGGUAGCAUUUGCUAAGUGGGCCAUUAUCUAAAAAGUUUGAGAACACUACUGUGCAGGAAAGUACUUAGGACAAAAGUAUCCAAUCUUAAAUACAGAUAAAAGGUAGCAAGCAACAGUGCUACUCUGAAACACUUCUUAAAGUGAGAGAUAACAUACUGACAUUUGUAGAGUUGAAUUGUACUUUAUAAUAUGAAUGUUUACUAAGUGUAAUUUUCAAAAGAUACUUUCUCUUAUUGACCUUUUCAAAGACAAUGAGGCUCUUUAACCCAAAAUUAUUGCAGGGUAGAUUUGCCUGUUGGUGAAAGGAUGAAGUAAGAAGCUCUCUUUUAGUCAUAGGAUUAUGUAUGUUUCCAUUAGAAGAAUAUCUCCCUGGAUUUUGAAACAAAACAGCUGCUGCUAUCCAAAUAUGUAUAAAUGGUGGCAUAAAUGUAACACAUUAUAUUUCUUUCAACAUCUAUUUUUAUUACAUUGAU
Long non-coding RNA from Phyllostomus discolor (pale spear-nosed bat), 4658 nucleotides. RefSeq lists it as uncharacterized. The transcript has 3 exons. Lineage: Eukaryota; Metazoa; Chordata; Mammalia; Chiroptera; Phyllostomidae. The record is from RefSeq and is a predicted model, not a curated record.